Molecule: ribosomal RNA, 502 nt
Filed under: uncultured Allobaculum sp.
Lineage: Bacteria; Bacillati; Bacillota; Erysipelotrichia; Erysipelotrichales; Erysipelotrichaceae
Description: partial 16S ribosomal RNA
Source: RNAcentral
CACGUAGUUAGCCGUGACUUCCUCGCCGGGUACCAUCACUCAGAAAGCUUUCCACUCUUUCUGCCUUUUGUCCCCGGCAACAGAGCUUUACGAUCCGAAGACCUUCCUCGCUCGCGCGGCAUUGCUCGUUCAGGGUUCCCCCCAUUGACGAAAAUUCCCUACUGCUGCCUCCCGCAGGAGUCUGGGCCGUGUCUCAGUCCCAGUGUGGCCGUCCGCCCUCUCAGGCCGGCUAUGCAUCGUCGCCUUGGUGAGCCGUUACCUCUCCAACCAGCUAAUGCACCGCAGGUCCAUCUGCAUGCGGGACUCUUGUCCCCUUUUCCAAAAAGAGAUGCCUCCUCUUUGCUCAUCCCGGUAUCAGCUUCCGUUUCCAGAAGUUCUCCCGCUCAUGCAGGCAGGUUCCCCUAGUGUUACUCACCCGUUUCGCCACUCAUAUCCCGAAGAUAUCCCGUUGACUUUGCAUUGUAUUUAGGCAUGCCGCCGGCGUUCAUCCUGAGCCAAGGUA